This 484-nucleotide ribosomal RNA is filed under the name uncultured bacterium. RNAcentral describes it as "partial 16S ribosomal RNA". It matches the Rfam family "Bacterial small subunit ribosomal RNA", at positions 28 to 507 of the family's 1533-position model. The record is from RNAcentral.
AUUGAACGCUGGCGGCAUGCUUUACACAUGCAAGUCGAACGGCAGCGCGGGCUUCGGCCUGGCGGCGAGUGGCGAACGGGUGAGUAAUGCAUCGGAACGUGCCCAGUAGUGGGGGAUAGCCCGGCGAAAGCCGGAUUAAUACCGCAUACGACCUGAGGGUGCAAGCGGGGGACCGAAAGGCCUCGCGCUAUUGGAGCGGCCGAUGUCGGAUUAGCUAGUUGGUGGGGUAAAGGCUUACCAAGGCGACGAUCCGUAGCUGGUCUGAGAGGACGACCAGCCACACUGGGACUGGGACACGGCCCAGACUCCUACGGGAGGCAGCAGUGGGGAAUUUUGGACAAUGGGGGCAACCCUGAUCCAGCCAUGCCGCGUGCGGGAAGAAGGCCUUCGGGUUGUAAACCGCUUUUGUUCGGGAAGAAAUCCUCUGGGCUAAUACCCCGGGGGGAUGACGGUACCGGAAGAAUAAGCACCGGCUAACUACGUG